RNAcentral lists this ribosomal RNA (254 nucleotides) under uncultured bacterium. Its description in RNAcentral is "partial 16S ribosomal RNA". It matches the Rfam family "Bacterial small subunit ribosomal RNA", at positions 524 to 776 of the family's 1533-position model. The record is from RNAcentral.
UACGUAGGGCGCAAGCGUUGUUCGGAUUUACUGGGCGUAACGGGCGCGUAGGCGGCGCGGUAAGUCACUUGUGAAAUCUCUGAGCUUAACUCAGAACGGCCAAGUGAUACUGCAGUGCUAGAGUGCAGAAAGGGCAAUCGGAAUUCUUGGUGUAGCGGUGAAAUGCGUAGAUAUCAAGAGGAACACCUGAGGCGAAGGCGGGUUGCUAGGCUGACACUGACGCUGAGUGCGCGAAAGCCAGGGGAGCAAACGGG